AGGGAAAAGCUCAAAUUUAAAAUCUGGCGGUCCUUGCGGCCGUCCGAGUUGUAAUUUAGAGAAGUGUUACCCGCGCUGGACCGUGUACAAGUCUCCUCGAACGGAGCAUCAUAGAGGGUGAGAAUCCCGUCCAUGACACGGACUACCAGGGCUUUGUGGUGCGCUCUCGAC
RNAcentral lists this ribosomal RNA (171 nucleotides) under Lindtneria flava. Its description in RNAcentral is "partial large subunit ribosomal RNA". It matches the Rfam family "Eukaryotic large subunit ribosomal RNA", at positions 99 to 261 of the family's 3401-position model. Lineage: Eukaryota; Fungi; Basidiomycota; Agaricomycetes; Agaricales; Stephanosporaceae. The record is from RNAcentral.